GCUGAUGUCUAUCUUUUGUUGUAGAUCAGACUGACUUAUUCAUUCACACUAAUGACUGUCUGUGUUUAGCUGUGUCAACAGCACACUCAGGAUCUCUGCUAAUAGUGCUGAUCUCUGCUGUUGCUGCUGGAUCUCUGGUGAUUGUAGCUGUGAUUGUGUUGUUUUGUAUCUGCAGGAAACGCAGAGACGCAGUUCAUGAAGACGAGACUCCAGCUGCUGCAUUACUCUACAAACACACGGGACUAAUGAGAGAAUCAGACGUGACGGAGGUGAUUUACACGUGUUUCAUUACAGAACACUCUCCCUGAUUCUGUCUCCUCACAAAUCAUGUAUUGAUCACAAGAACUGUAUCUGGCUUUUGCACUCUUACU
Carassius carassius (crucian carp) is the source of this 371-nucleotide long non-coding RNA. RefSeq lists it as uncharacterized. NCBI's taxonomy places the organism in Eukaryota, Metazoa, Chordata, Actinopteri, Cypriniformes, Cyprinidae. The record is from RefSeq and is a predicted model, not a curated record. The transcript has 3 exons.